AACGCGAAGAACCUUACCUACUCUUGACAUCCAGAGAAUUCGCUAGAGAUAGCUUAGUGCCUUCGGGAACUCUGAGACAGGUGCUGCAUGGCUGUCGUCAGCUCGUGUUGUGAAAUGUUGGGUUAAGUCCCGCAACGAGCGCAACCCUUAUCCUUUGUUGCCAGCGAGUAAUGUCGGGAACUCAAAGGAGACUGCCGGUGAUAAACCGGAGGAAGGUGGGGAUGACGUCAAGUCAUCAUGGCCCUUACGAGUAGGGCUACACACGUGCUACAAUGGCAUAUACAAAGAGAAGCGAACUCGCGAGAGCAAGCGGACCUCAUAAAGUAUGUCGUAGUCCGGAUUGGAGUCUGCAACUCGACUCCAUGAAGUCGGAAUCGCUAGUAAUCGUAGAUCAGAAUGCUACGGUGAAUACGUUCCCGGGCCUUGUA
Molecule: ribosomal RNA, 428 nt
Filed under: uncultured Gammaproteobacteria bacterium
Lineage: Bacteria; Pseudomonadati; Pseudomonadota; Gammaproteobacteria
Description: bacterial SSU rRNA
Rfam family: Bacterial small subunit ribosomal RNA
Source: RNAcentral